GCCUACGGGGGGCAGCAGUAGGGAAUCUUCCACAAUGGGCGAAAGCCUGAUGGAGCAACGCCGCGUGGGUGAAGAAGGUCUUCGGAACGUAAAACCCUGUUGUUAGAGAAGAAAGUGCGUGAGAGUAACUGUUCACGUUUCGACGGUAUCUAACCAGAAAGCCACGGCUAACUACGUGCCAGCAGCCGCGGUAAUACGUAGGUGGCAAGCGUUAUCCGGAUUUAUUGGGCGUAAAGAGAACGCGGGCGGUCUUUUAAGUCUGAUGUGAAAGCCUUCGGCUUAACCGGAGUAGUGCAUUGGAAACU
This 305-nucleotide ribosomal RNA is filed under the name uncultured bacterium. RNAcentral describes it as "bacterial SSU rRNA". It matches the Rfam family "Bacterial small subunit ribosomal RNA", at positions 337 to 634 of the family's 1533-position model. The record is from RNAcentral.